This 464-nucleotide ribosomal RNA is filed under the name uncultured bacterium. RNAcentral describes it as "partial 16S ribosomal RNA". It matches the Rfam family "Bacterial small subunit ribosomal RNA", at positions 28 to 506 of the family's 1533-position model. The record is from RNAcentral.
GACGAACGCUGGCGGCGUGCUUAACACAUGCAAGUCGAACGAAAAGGCCACUUUGUGGCUACUCGAGUGGUGACCGGGUACGUAACACGUGCGUAUCCUUCACCUAACUUCGGGACAACUUCAGCUAACUGAGGCUAAUACUGGUUACGAAUACUUUCUGCAUGGGGGGGGUUGGAUAGCUUAGGCGGGUUUGGAUGGCUUCGCGGCUUAUCAGCUAGUUGGUGGGGUAGUGGCUUACCAAGGCUUUGACGGGUAGCCAACCUGAGAAGGCGACCGGCCACAUUGGUACUGAGAGACGGCGCAGACUCCUACGGUACGCAGCAGUGGGGAGUAUGGCGCAAUGGGCGGAAGCCAGAGGCAGCAACGCCGCGAGCGGGAUAACGGCCUUCUGGUUGUAAACCGCUUUCAGCAGGGGUGAAGCUUGUGGGGACGGUACCUGCAGAAGAAGCACGGGCUAACUACGU